Molecule: long non-coding RNA, 849 nt
Filed under: Oreochromis niloticus (Nile tilapia)
Lineage: Eukaryota; Metazoa; Chordata; Actinopteri; Cichliformes; Cichlidae
Description: lncRNA (ENSONIG00000033557.1)
Source: RNAcentral
GUCAGUAUCUUUUUUCAUGUAGUCGGUCAUGUAAUUACCUUGUAAUUUGUUUGUCUUGGUUUGUUUGUCGUGUGCAGUGCUCAGAGGUCAGCAGUGAGAGUUAGAUCUCUGACAGAAGAACUGGAGGAGACACGUCAAGCAUUUAAAGAGGCCCGGGAGAAAGCCAGUCGGACCCAGAAUAGCUGCUCCAAACUGGUAUGUCAAACUCUCAGCAGUCCCACAGUGAAACUUUCUGCUGCGUUUGGCUUAUUUUAUAUGGCAACUAUUUACAUUUAAGUCUUUUUUUUUUUUUUGGUCUUCAGAGCAAUGAGGUUGAAUGUCUUCAGAGUGAUAUUCAAAGGCUUGAAGACAAGAAUGAAAAACUAAUCUUUGAGAAAACAUGCUCUGAAGAAAGCCUCAACAAACUGAGGAAGGUCAACGCUGAAUUGAGGGCUGGACUUGAGGAAACUCUGAUUAUGUUGACACUGAGAGACAGAGAAAUAUCAAAGGUAAGUACAUUUUUUUUCCUAACGAUGAAAGUUGAAAUUGUCACAUUUUAAAAUUUUUAUUUUAACUGUCUAGAAAGACAUUCUUAUGGAAAAGAUGAAGAAUACUCAUGUGGAGAAUCACAGAAUGAUAGAGGUAUGUUUGAUAGAGCUUAGAGUUGAAGGGAGAAUAUUCGAUACUGUAAAUGCCAUGACAUCAUAUUGAAUGCUAAUCAGAUGUUACUAAAAUCUUUUUCCUCUAUUCCGGUGUUGUAGGGUCUGCAAUCCGAGCUGAUGAGAUUACACGAACAUUCAAACCAAGUUCUUCUGAGGUAUUUUUAAUUAAUUGCUUAUAAAUGUAACAUGGUGCUGACUGUUGAUUUUU